UCCCUGGUGGCUCAGUGAGUAAAGCAUCUGCCUGCAAUGUGGGAAACCUGGGUUCGAUCCCCAGGUUGGGAA
RNAcentral lists this transfer RNA (72 nucleotides) under Bos taurus (domestic cattle). It matches the Rfam family "tRNA". Rfam says of the family: Transfer RNA (tRNA) molecules are approximately 80 nucleotides in length. RNAcentral also lists the same sequence under 2 other names. The record is from Rfam by way of RNAcentral. Lineage: Eukaryota; Metazoa; Chordata; Mammalia; Artiodactyla; Bovidae.